This 355-nucleotide ribosomal RNA is filed under the name uncultured bacterium. Its description in RNAcentral is "bacterial SSU rRNA". It matches the Rfam family "Bacterial small subunit ribosomal RNA", at positions 136 to 509 of the family's 1533-position model. The record is from RNAcentral.
CCGGGGGAUAACAGUUAGAAAUGACUGCUAAUACCGCAUAAGACCACGAGGCCGCAUGACCUUGAGGUAAAAGCUGAGGCGAUACAAGAUGGACCCGCGUCUGAUUAGUUAGUUGGUGGGGUAACGGCCUACCAAGACCGCGAUCAGUAGCCGACCUGAGAGGGUGAUCGGCCACAUUGGGACUGAGACACGGCCCAAACUCCUACGGGAGGCAGCAGUGGGGAAUAUUGGGCAAUGGGCGCAAGCCUGACCCAGCGACGCCGCGUGAGUGAAGAAGUAUUUCGGUAUGUAAAGCUCUUUAAGCAGGGAAGAAAACGACGGUACCUGCAGAAUAAGCACCGGCUAAAUACGUGCC